This 20-nucleotide unclassified non-coding RNA is filed under the name Mus musculus (house mouse). RNAcentral describes it as "oocyte_clustered_small_RNA11426". Lineage: Eukaryota; Metazoa; Chordata; Mammalia; Rodentia; Muridae. The record is from RNAcentral.
UCCUGUCUGUCUUAGCAAGU